This 219-nucleotide ribosomal RNA is filed under the name uncultured bacterium. Its description in RNAcentral is "partial 16S ribosomal RNA". It matches the Rfam family "Bacterial small subunit ribosomal RNA", at positions 1276 to 1500 of the family's 1533-position model. The record is from RNAcentral.
UUAAAGUCAUCCUCAGUUCGGACUGGGGUCUGCAACCCGACCCCACGAAGCUGGAUUCGCUAGUAAUCGCGCAUCAGCCAUAGGCGCGGUGAAUACGUUCCCGGGCCUUGUACACACCGCCCGUCAAGCCAUGAAAGCCGGGGGGCGCCUGAAGUCCGUGACCGCGAGGGUCGGCCUAGGGUGAAACCGGUGAUUGGGGCUAAGUCGUAACAAGGUAGC